This 703-nucleotide ribosomal RNA is filed under the name Bacillus cereus. RNAcentral's name for it is "bacterial SSU rRNA". It matches the Rfam family "Bacterial small subunit ribosomal RNA", at positions 38 to 709 of the family's 1533-position model. The record is from RNAcentral. Lineage: Bacteria; Bacillati; Bacillota; Bacilli; Caryophanales; Bacillaceae.
UCCGGCCCAUAGACAUUUAAUACUGUAGGUCGAGCGAAUGGAUCCAAUGAGCUUGCUCUUAUGAAGUUAGCGGCGGACGGGUGAGUAACACGUGGGUAACCUGCCCAUAAGACUGGGAUAACUCCGGGAAACCGGGGCUAAUACCGGAUAAUAUUUUGAACUGCAUGGUUCGAAAUUGAAAGGCGGCUUCGGCUGUCACUUAUGGAUGGACCCGCGUCGCAUUAGCUAGUUGGUGAGGUAACGGCUCACCAAGGCAACGAUGCGUAGCCGACCUGAGAGGGUGAUCGGCCACUCUGACACUGAGACACGGCCCAGACUGCUACGGGAGGGAAGAGACGGGAAUCUUCCGAAAUGGACGAAAGUCUGACGGAGCAACGCCUGGAGACUCAUGAAGGACUUUCGGGUCGUAAAACGCUCUCGAGCGGACGACCACGUGCUACCUGAUCAGCUGGCACCUUGACGGUACUCCCGAGAACGCGGUUUUCAAAGGAAUGCCAGCAGCGGUAAAGUACUUAGGUUGCAUGCGAUAUACGGGAUUUUUGCGCUUAUAUGUGCGUGCCGGUUGUUUACUUACUGUUGGAUGCGAGACUUCGCCGGCUUAACGGAGAGGAUCAUUGUAAACUGGGUAAACUUUGAGUGCAAGAAGAGCAAAGUGUAUUACUAGUGAGCCGUAUAAGUGCCGGUGUGUUAUACGCAGGUCUUC